Molecule: long non-coding RNA, 484 nt
Organism: Pseudophryne corroboree (corroboree frog)
Lineage: Eukaryota; Metazoa; Chordata; Amphibia; Anura; Myobatrachidae
Exons: 3
Source: RefSeq, a predicted model, not a curated record
AAGGUUGGACAACAUGCCAGUAACUAUCAACAAAACUAUGAGCAACAUGCAGUAAUUGCUAACAUGGAAAAAGAAAAUAAAACUAUCAAAGACAUACAAGCAUUGCUCAAGGAAAGUGGCAUUAUAGUCAGGUUACAAACUGAGCGUUAUCAUGCUUUCGAGACAACACAGCACAGAUAAGUAUUUCCUUCAAAAUGCACAUGGAGAGAACAAGAAAUUGUGGAGGAACCAGCUCAUGAGGAUGAUGAGCGUACUGCUUCACAAAUAAAAAAAUUCUUCAUUCCAAGUAUGACCUGGACAUUUCAAUCACCAGCAUUAGAAGGAUGCAUCAGAUAAUGGGAUGGACCUUUGGCAGUACAAGUGUGUAACCAUGGCAACCGGAGUCGGGUGGGUGACAUCACUUCCGGCGCGACGGGAGACCCGUGACCGGAAGUGCCACUACGGGACGGCGGCCGGGAGCGUGGGGCACACACUGGAGGUGCAC